GCGCGCAAAUUACCCACUCCCAGAACGGGGAGGUAGUGACGAAAAAUAACAAUACGGGACUCUUUUGAGACCCCGUAAUUGGAAUGAGUACACUCUAAAUCCUUUAACGAGGAUCCAUUGGAGGGUAAGUCUGGUGCCAGCAACCGCGGUAAUUCCAGCUCCAAUAGCGUAUAUUAAAGUUGUUGCGGUUAAAAAGCUCGUAGUUGGAUCUCAGUUCCAGACGGGUGGUCCGCCUACCGGUGGUUACUGCCUGUUCUGAACAGUCAGCCGGUUUCUCUUGAUGAUCUUCACCGGUUGUCUUGGGUGACCGGCAAGUUUACUUUGAAAAAAUUAGAGUGCUCAAAGCAGGCGUGACGCCUGAAUAAUGGUGCAUGGAAUAAUGGAAUAGGACCUCGGUUCUAUUUUGUUGGUUUUCGGAACACGAGGUAAUGAUUAAGAGGGACAGACGGGGGCAUUCGUAUUGCGACGCUAGAGGUGAAAUUCUUGGACCGUCGCAAGACGAACUACUGCGAAAGCAUUUGCCAAGAAUGUUUCCAUUAAUCAAGAACGAAAGUUAGAGGUUCGAAGGCGAUCAGAUACCGCCCUAGUUCUAACCAUAAACGAUGCCAGCCAGCGAUCCGGCUGUGUUCCUCAAAUGACACGCCGGGCAGCUUCCGGGAAACCAAAGCUUUUGGUUC
This 677-nucleotide ribosomal RNA is filed under the name Iwogumoa plancyi. RNAcentral describes it as "SSU rRNA". It matches the Rfam family "Eukaryotic small subunit ribosomal RNA", at positions 432 to 1114 of the family's 1831-position model. Lineage: Eukaryota; Metazoa; Arthropoda; Arachnida; Araneae; Agelenidae. The record is from RNAcentral.